Long non-coding RNA from Raphanus sativus (radish), 1441 nucleotides. RefSeq lists it as uncharacterized. The transcript has 7 exons. Lineage: Eukaryota; Viridiplantae; Streptophyta; Magnoliopsida; Brassicales; Brassicaceae. The record is from RefSeq and is a predicted model, not a curated record.
GUUUGAAGAAAACCCUGGAGUUGGCGUACGCAGCGCAUCUUCGUGUUCUUCACUCUCUUGAGAUCGGAGGACUAGACUAUUCCGAUUCUGUAACGGUAUGAGGUGUGAUUUAUUUGUCUUAAAUCCUCUUAAAUCGUAAGCGCACUAUGAAACCUUCGAUUGCCAUGCCCGUCGGGGAAUAAAUAUGAUACAGUCCCUCCGUGAAAUGAUCAGUUCUCAUCGUUCUCAUAUGUGUGACGAUGUUGUUGUUAUUGUGAUUAGGGAUGUUCAUUGUUGAUCGAAGCUUAAAGAGACUUUCUCAGGUCACUAAUAGAACGUGGUGGAGUCUCCACCGGGGAGAGUUUAUGUGGGUUGAUAUACUCAUGGUUGAUGUUAAUGCGACCAUGAUGCAAGACAUGAUCCUUCAGAGCAAUGAAGACAGACAGAGAAGAGCAGAACUAUUACUGGGUGAAUGAAGUGGUCAGAUGUGAAGGCCGAGUAACAGCAGUGAGCGGGUGUCAUAGUCCUAGCUACAUGAUUAUCAGACCGAGAAAUACAAGAAAAGAUCUGGCUCUAUUGUCUAAAGAAGAGACUGAGAUGCCCAAAGUUUGGGCACAGAUAUCUCUCCAGAGGAUGUUUGAUAUGGCUAAAGAAAGCACAACUCUGCGGCAGAGCUUGGAUCCUAUGCUUUGUUAUUUUACCUCUAAACGCCAGUGGACUCCUCCAAACGGUCUUGCUAUGAUAGUUCUGUCUGAUGCUACAUACUUGACGGAAACCUUUGGGAGUCAGCAGUUGAUGUUAUCCUCUGUUGUACGUCAUCUUGACAACAAGCAUGUUGCCAAUGAUUCUGAACUCAAAGCUUAAAUCAUACAAGUUGCUGGCUGUCUAGCAAAGCUGAUUAAGACUGUCUCCGGGAGAUAGCCAAAGGAAUUGGAAAUACACAGCCGAGAAGGAUGGCGUCAAGGUGGAUAUGAAUCUAGCUGAAAUGUUACCAUCAAUGAUGAAGUUUACUGAACGAACACGACCAUGAGCCACGAUCUAACAUUAAUGCAAGUCUGCAACACCUAUAAAAAGGCUUGGUUAUAUAUGUCCCUAUCAAGACUCGACAAAGGUGUGGGGGUGUUCAGAAAUUGAAAAUGUGACGGACUCUGAGCUAAACUUUACGUUCUGUAUAUUCUCCACCAUAAGGCAAUCCGUUCAUGUUCCAUUCUGCUAAAUUAUCUCAAGUGUUGCAUUAUUAGCAUUUGUAGACUUAAUACACUAGAUUGCUGAGUUUCUCUCCACAAGAAAAGUAGAGGCCACUGAAACAAUCAAUGGGUGGUGCUACAUUUUCGGCUCCAAAUGUUCCAGGAAACUUCAGCGUCCUUUUUAUGGUUCACCUGCAACUCAUGUAAUGACUACAGCUAUUUCUGCUUUCAUUUUGGCUCAUCUCGCCUAUUCUUGGAAAGGUUUUAUACUUUUA